Molecule: non-coding RNA, 75 nt
Organism: Desmophyllum pertusum
Lineage: Eukaryota; Metazoa; Cnidaria; Anthozoa; Scleractinia; Caryophylliidae
Source: the annotation of a GenBank genome assembly
GGCUAAAUAGCUCAGUUGGUAUAGAACAUCACACUGGUUUGGUGGAGGUCAUGGAUUUGAAUCCUGUUGUAGCCU